Long non-coding RNA from Acanthochromis polyacanthus (spiny chromis), 2730 nucleotides. RefSeq lists it as uncharacterized. The transcript is spliced from 2 exons. NCBI's taxonomy places the organism in Eukaryota, Metazoa, Chordata, Actinopteri, Pomacentridae. The record is from RefSeq and is a predicted model, not a curated record.
UCACAGCACGAAACUAAAUGAGGAAUGUUUCUUUUUUUAUAGUCUUUAAUCUACUUUCACUUGCUCUUUGCAACCUGAAUAAUAGUUUGUAUAAUUAACAGGAUCUGACACCCACAGUACCACAUUUUAAAAUGCUUCAGUCGCCUCUGAAAGAGCACAGGAACCAUUUGUUAAUGACAGGAACUAGGCUUCGGCUUUGUUGGGUGAGAGGGAGGGGAAAAAAUCUGAUUCUCAUCAGGGGCAUGAAGCAGCUCGCCUCCUCUCCUCUCCUCUCCUCUCCUCCCCUCUGGCCUCCUGACAGGCAGCAGCGCAGCAACGGCUCAGACUUCACCAGAAAUGACAGAGCAGAUUUCAUCCUGCCGGGGUGAAGCAGAGCGAGCUAAAACUGCUUGCUUCAGCUCACCGUGUUCGCCAUUCUUACCGUCUGCCAGUCUCCUUCUCUCCACCGGUACCGGGAGGGGCAGUCGGCCACCCGGCAGCUCUGGCUGGACGCCGGUCGGGAGCGCUGGGGACAGCCGCUCUCCAGCGCGCUGCGGCGGUCACCGAGCUGACAGAGGACCUCCCGGCGCUGGAUGCCGUCGCCGCAUGAUGCUGAACACUGAAAUCAGAGCGGAUGCUGUUCCUUCUGAACAACCUGCACUGCAUUCAUGUUAAUGUAAUUCUGUUGGAUGACAUUUUAACGAUGUAAUAACAGCAAAGGAAGCAUUUUUGCGGUACACUGUGACAAAGAGUAAGAUGUACUGUUUGUUUCCGUGUCAUGGUUUUAAAGAUUUGGACAUGAAUGUAUACAAGCACAUUGUCUGCUACAUAUGUAGUUACAUGUUCAUUCACAACCUAAAGCCUUUGGACCCUGAAUCAGCUUGAUGCACUGGACUGGACUUUACUAAGAGCUUUGAGUUGAGUAUCAUUCUCUCCUGGCACGCAUCCUGCUCUACAGCUGUUUAGAUCAGACAUCCUCUCUGACGUAUGGAGCGCAGAUGUGUCUCGGACUGGUGGAGUGAAUCCAGAGAAAGAGGACAGGAGAGGAGAGAGAGGGGAAAAGAAACGUAGAGGACAAAGUGAGGGAAAGAAAACGGGAACAAGCACAUGGCAAGUUUUGUGGCUGCCCAGGUGCACUUAGUGACUUUUUCUGGCAGGAUGAAAUACCUUUAGCAGGGCAUUCAACGAAAAGACCAACAUGUGGUUCCCAUCGGGGAGGCAGAAGAUAGUGGUAAAAAAAAAGAAGGGGAAAGCGGGCUGGGAAGAAAAAGUGUUCUUUGGGGGAAUUCAACAGUGAGAGAGGAUAAAAGGCACAGAGAGGAGAGGAAGGUGAGUGCCAAAGGAAGAGAAUAUAUAGAAGUUGAGUAGGGUAGAUUUUCACUGGCUGUACUUCAGAUCAAAAAGCAGAGUGCACAUCCCGCCUGCUGUCCAGCUCAGUGCAUUAUAAUGUUACACCCUCAGAGCUCACCACGUCAAACUGUCUAUCUGCUGCCACCCCAGGCCUGUGCUGCACCCCGACACACCAUCAUGUGAUGUGUAAGACACCCUGCCUCAGUUAGAGGCUUAGCAUGCUGCAUAAAUACAGUCAGGUUCAGCUGCACAUGUUUCACACAUAAGGACAUAGUUGCCAGCAAGCUGGUAAGCAUUAAAGUAGAAAGAGAGAGGAAAAAAAAAAAGCCGACAUGUCUGGCAGCGUGAGAACAGAAAAUUGAGGAGUGUUUUAUGGCAAGGUCAGAGCGUCCUACCUCUCCCCAGUUUCCAGUCUUCCACUUGGGGCAUCGUCCACCUCGGCAGCGCCUCUGCUUGCUAGGUCUGGGGGACAGGUGCUGGCAGUUUUCUUCUGGGACGGGACGACCUGACUUGGUCACACAACUCACCUUACGGGACUUGACACCUCUUCCACAGGCGGCCGAGCACUGCAAAGGAAAGAAAAGGAGGUAAUUAGAAAUCAAAAGUUAGAUUUUGUAAAAGUAUGAAAAGUGCAUGCUCCGAAUUGAGAAAAUUCUGAUGUGUCUGGAUGAGGGUUAAUAUACUGCAUAUCAGAUUCAUCAUAAACUGCAUCUGCAUGACAAUAAAAAGCAGGUGUAAUUAAAAACAUGGUUAGUAACUCAUUAAAUGGUGAAUCUCUGUUUUUUUUCCCCUGAUAAAAAAAACGUGAACAUUUGUGACCCAGUUACGUAUCAGCAGCCUGACCAAUAGCAAAGCGUGCCCAGUCACCCCGGCAGCAGUUUGUUUCACCUCCGGGUUCACCGAGUUACGGAAAGUCUAACGCAGUGUGACAGGCAGACACACACACAGCAGUGUUACAAGAGGGAGUGGAGCAGGGCCAGACUGUGCUCAGAUAAUCAAAGGGGGCGUUGCAUACGGGGAUGGAUGGGAAGCGACAGGCUCAGAGUUGAACGAGUGCGUGGCCCAGCGUGUGGUUCUGUCCUGAUCAGCAAGGGACUGUACUGGACAGGAACAUGCUGUGACCUCUCACCUCAUUCUGGGAGGACGAAAGGUAGGAGGGCUAGUGGAAGAAAGGGACGACUACAAUCCUCUUUAUAAACACAGGCGACUCUCACAUCCCAAUUUCAUCUGUUGUGCGGUGGAUUUAUUGGAACUGUGUCAUUAGUAGGUCAUUCAUUCAAUCAGUAGGGGUGAGAUUCAGUUCAGUUUUUCACCAAGAGGUAGAAAAUGAGCCCUAGCGACUUUGUAUGAUUGCUUUGAAGAUAUUGUGCUUGAAUUUGAAUAAAAAUGAAAUGAACUGUG